GAGUUUGAUCCUGGCUCAGAUUGAACGCUGGCGGCAUGCCUUACACAUGCAAGUCGAACGGCAGCACGGGAGCUUGCUCCUGGUGGCGAGUGGCGAACGGGUGAGUAAUGCAUCGGAACGUAUCCUGGAGUGGGGGAUAACGUAGCGAAAGUUACGCUAAUACCGCAUAUUCUGUGAGCAGGAAAGCGGGGGACCUUCGGGCCUCGCGCUCUUGGAGCGGCCGAUGUCGGAUUAGCUAGUUGGUGAGGUAAAGGCUCACCAAGGCGACGAUCCGUAGCAGGUCUGAGAGGAUGAUCUGCCACACUGGAACUGAGACACGGUCCAGACUCCUACGGGAGGCAGCAGUGGGGAAUUUUGGACAAUGGGGGCAACCCUGAUCCAGCCAUGCCGCGUGUGUGAAGAAGGUCUUCGGAUUGUAAAGCACUUUAAGUUGGGAGGAAGGGCAGUAAGUUAAUACCUUGCUGUUUUGACGUUACCGACAGAAUAAGCACCGGCUAACUCUGUGCCAG
RNAcentral lists this ribosomal RNA (509 nucleotides) under bacterium enrichment culture clone ALO1_GLFRUDD03GSYXX. RNAcentral's name for it is "bacterial SSU rRNA". It matches the Rfam family "Bacterial small subunit ribosomal RNA", at positions 9 to 511 of the family's 1533-position model. The record is from RNAcentral.